GAGUUUGAUUCUGGCUCAGGAUGAACGCUGGCGGCGUGCCUAACACAUGCAAGUCGAACGAAGAAUUUUUUGGAAGUUUUCGGAUGGAAGAAAAAUUACUUAGUGGCGGACGGGUGAGUAACGCGUAAGUAAUCAACCUACAACACACGAAUAACUAGGAGAAAUCUUAGCUAAUACGAGAUGAAGUAAGUAUAUCGGGAGAUAUAAAUAUGAAAGCUGAGGCGGUUGUAGACGAGCUUGCGUCUGAUUAGCUAGUUGGCAGGGUAAGAGCCUACCAAGGCGACGAUCAGUAGCCGGCCUGAGAGGGUGAACGGCCACAUUGGAACUGAGAGACGGUCCAAACUCCUACGGGAGGCAGCAGUGGGGGAUAUUGCACAAUGGGCGAAAGCCUGAUGCAGCAACGCCGCGUGAGCGAAGAAGGCUUUCGAGUCGUAAAGCUCUGUCGUAUGGGAAGAAAAAAAUGACAGUACCAUACAAGAAAGCCCCG
RNAcentral lists this ribosomal RNA (487 nucleotides) under Peptostreptococcaceae bacterium canine oral taxon 047. RNAcentral's name for it is "bacterial SSU rRNA". It matches the Rfam family "Bacterial small subunit ribosomal RNA", at positions 9 to 495 of the family's 1533-position model. Lineage: Bacteria; Bacillati; Bacillota; Clostridia; Peptostreptococcales; Peptostreptococcaceae. The record is from RNAcentral.